GGCGGAGCUGCGGCUGAGGAGCAGCAGUUACAGACAGGAAGUCAGUGACCUACAGGAGGCGCUGCAGUGGAAGGAGAAGAAGAUCCUGGCCUUGGAGCGCCAGAGAGAAAUGUCCGACAGAGUUCAGGUGGAACGAGACCGACUGAUGGACGAGGUCAUCAAUCUCCGAGAGAUGCUACAAAAACACGGCGUAGUUACCUCAUCUGAAUUCUCCACCAAUGGGGAGGAGGGAUGGGGCAACAAUGACUCCCGAUUGGUUGUAGAGUCUGGUCAGGGCAGCAGAGAGAGCGUGCUGGGUAAGAACCAAUCAAACCUAUUGAUCAUUAUCAUUUACAUCACUGACGAUUGAUUGCUCAGACUUUUCUCUUUAACUGAUGAUUCACUGAUGAUUGUUGAUUGAUAUUUAUUAGUUCAUUAGUAAUUCCUGAUUUAUUUAUUGUUGAUUGAUUAUUGGCAAUUUACAUUCAUUUUUAAUUGAUUAGUGAUCAGUGAUUGAUUGAGUGAUCAUUGAUUAACAUUUCUCUGUCUGAAUAUGUCACCUCCUGAGGGUCUUCAGGGGACAGAGACUCUCAGACACGAAGAGUCUCUGUCCCUCUCUCUGUCUCUGGUCUCUCUCUCUGCCCCCCCCAGCUGGUCCUCCAAUGUCUUAUUCGUGGUCUUUCAGGGACAGUUGGCCAUCACUCAGCAGUGGAGGGGGUCAUACUCCGGCAGGGCCAGCUAAAGUCCAGAAUCAAGA
RNAcentral lists this long non-coding RNA (736 nucleotides) under Echeneis naucrates (live sharksucker). Its description in RNAcentral is "lncRNA (ENSENLG00000006571.1)". Lineage: Eukaryota; Metazoa; Chordata; Actinopteri; Carangiformes; Echeneidae. The record is from RNAcentral.